This 292-nucleotide ribosomal RNA is filed under the name uncultured bacterium. RNAcentral describes it as "partial 16S ribosomal RNA". It matches the Rfam family "Bacterial small subunit ribosomal RNA", at positions 505 to 796 of the family's 1533-position model. The record is from RNAcentral.
GUGUCAGCAGCCGCGGUAAUACGUAGGGGGCGAGCGUUGUCCGGAGUUACUGGGCGUAAAGCGCCCGCAGGCGGUCGGUCGCGUUUGAGGUUACAGCUCCUGGCUUAACUGGGAGAGCGUCUCAAAGACGGGCUGACUUGAGGACCAGAGAGGGACACGGAAUUCCGGGUGGAGUGGUGAAAUGCGUAGAUAUCCGGAGGAACACCGAAGGCGAAGGCAGUGUCCUGGCUGGUCCCUGACGCUGAGGGGCGAAAGCUAGGGGAGCGAACGGGAUUAGAUACCCCGGUAGUCC